GCUUAAUUUGACUCAACGCGGGAAAACUCACCCGGCCCGAACACUGUGAGGAUUGACAGAUUGAUAGCUCUUUCUUGAUUCAGUGGGUGGUGGUGCAUGGCCGUUCUUAGUUGGUGGAGUGAUUUGUCUGGUUAAUUCCGAUAACGAACGAGACUCUAGCCUGCUAAAUAGUCAACUGAUAUUCAUUGUCUGUUUGACUUCUUAGAGGGAUUGGCUACUUUUAGUGGCAAGAAACUGAGCAAUAACAGGUCUGUGAUGCCC
Molecule: ribosomal RNA, 261 nt
Filed under: uncultured eukaryote
Lineage: Eukaryota
Description: partial 18S ribosomal RNA
Rfam family: Eukaryotic small subunit ribosomal RNA
Source: RNAcentral